Molecule: ribosomal RNA, 253 nt
Filed under: uncultured bacterium
Lineage: Bacteria
Description: partial 16S ribosomal RNA
Rfam family: Bacterial small subunit ribosomal RNA
Source: RNAcentral
UACGUAGGGGGCAAGCGUUGUCCGGAUUCAUUGGGCGUAAAGAGCGUGUAGGCGGCCAGGUAGGUCGGUUGUGAAAACUGGAGGCUCAACCUUCAGAGGUCGACCGAAACCAUCUGGCUAGAGUCCGGGAGAGGGGAGUGGAAUUCCUGGUGUAGCGGUGAAAUGCGCAGAUAUCAGGAAGAACACCCGUGGCGAAAGCGGCUCUAUGGAACGGUACUGACGCUGAGACGCGAAAGCGUGGGGAGCGAACAGG